GGUGUUACAUUUAUUGCUCAAUUUUUGGGUUUAAGAAGCUUUUUAAUAAGCUUCAAUGGAGGAAGAUAAGAAAAGUGAGAGAGUUGAGAGAGAAGAGAUGGAACGACAAUUGUAGAAGAUGACUUUUUUUUUUCUUUCUUUUAUAAAUUAAGCCUUUAUGGAAGACCACAAAUUAAUCCGAAUUUAAUUUUUUUAUUGUUAUUAUGUUUAUUGCAUUAUGCAUGAUGUCAUCACUUUUCAC
RNAcentral lists this unclassified non-coding RNA (241 nucleotides) under Hevea brasiliensis (rubber tree). Lineage: Eukaryota; Viridiplantae; Streptophyta; Magnoliopsida; Malpighiales; Euphorbiaceae. The record is from RNAcentral.